Molecule: long non-coding RNA, 349 nt
Organism: Peromyscus leucopus (white-footed mouse)
Lineage: Eukaryota; Metazoa; Chordata; Mammalia; Rodentia; Cricetidae
Exons: 2
Source: RefSeq, a predicted model, not a curated record
CAAGCUCACUCACAGAUGUCGUCAGAGGACAGCCUGCAGAAGGGAGUUGGCCCUAUCCUUCUACCAUGUAGGUCCCCGGGACUGAAUUCAAGCCAUCAGGUUUGGUGACAAGUGCCUCUUCCAACUGAGCCAUUUGCUGGCCCGAUUCGUUACUUUGUGUGUGUAGCUCGCACGCCAUGUGCUGUGUGGAGGUAAAAGGACACAACAAACUGCUGUUGCUAGGCUUGUGUGGUGGUUCUCGUUGGAAAGGCACCGUGAAAAGCAUAGUCAUUUAUCAGUGCAGAGUUCUCAGACUUUACAAUGGCAGUGUGAUAAUGUAACGGCUCCACAAAUAAAUAUUUUAACCUAA